AAUAGCAUUCUGAUGGUAUACUGGUGCAGAUAGGCAUGCGUUAGUUUUCCGACGUGCACCGUCACACGCUUGACAUCGAAUCGUAAUAAUAAUAUCGCAGUUUUACGCCAUUUGCAUAGACCUCGCCGCGGUGUAUACCUAAUACCUACCGUUUAUCGUAAUUUUUUUACCUUCUUCCGUAUUUGUGCGCACAUUCGUCCGGAAAUGGUCAACAAGAGUGUUCUCGUUAUAAUUUCACUGCUCACAGUGCUAUUUGUUUCCUUGACAUCAGCGCAUACGAUACAUGAAAAACAUGUCAUCCACGUUCCUCUUUUGGUACAUUACGUCCAUCAUCAUCAUCGAAAAAUUAUAAAACCAAUCAGACACAAAAAAGUGAAAACCAGAAAAUUUGUUCAUCGAUACCAUAGUUACUGGUAUUGAUAACUAAACGAAACACAAUGUACAAUACACACCGAAUGGUAUUAUUAAACAAAACAAAUUACCAAAAUAUAUUUGACUAAAUUCGUAUAUGAUUACAUUUUGUCGAUGAUUGUUACUGAUAAGUUAAGUAGGUAUAGAUAUGCACGUAAUACGUUUAGUAUAUAAUAUAAUGCACAAAACAAUAUAGUAAUAUCAUUUUUAUUGUAUACAUGCAUUUAUAAACUAAGCACACAUAAUUUAUAUAAUAUUGUAAAAUCAUUGAAUGAUAUGUCAAAUCUAAUAAUGUGAUUAACUUAAUACAUAUAAUAUUUGUUGUUAUAGUAUAUACGUAUGCCGUAUAAGGUACCUAUAUUUAAAAUUAUCCAUUUUUUAUUUUAUUUUUUAAUGAGUUCAAGUUACCAAAUGUACAACCAAAAAUUUAAAAGGUGUUUAGUAAUAGGUAAAUUCAUUUUUGUUUAAGUUUAUGAGUACAAGAAUGUGAACUGAUUGAUCAAUUUCAAAUAUAAUAAAUUACAAUGUUGUAUAUUUGAUACAUUAUUAGUACCUAAUGUAUAGUUUCUAUUUAAUAAUAAUUAUUUGGCCAAAAUUGUUGUAUCUUAUCAAUUCCCAUUCCACAGUCCACACACAAUUUUGACUAAGCAGAUGAUAAAAUUUUGUUAUUUGUUACGCUAAAUCAGAUAUCCAACUAUACUAAUUAUAGAAUAACCAACAACGAUAAUACAUUUUAUAAACUAAGACUUAAAAACGUAUCUAAGCAACUAAAGUUAUGUUAUUAUUGAUUAAAAUUACAAAACUUUAAGUUGUGUAAUAUUAAUAAUAACAACAUUGCACGCAGCACGCAUCAGUAAAUUACAUAUCUAUGUAUGUAACGAUGAUCACAAAACAGAAGUUUCUGAAAAGUAAAAUAACCCCUGACUAGUAAUAAGUAAUAACCUUCGAAAUGUUGACCGUUCAAGUCAUCUAUUAUAAUAUUAAUAUGAAAUAUGAAUAAUUUAAAUGUUCGUAAAAACUAUGAUUAUUCUGUA
This is a long non-coding RNA of Metopolophium dirhodum (rose-grain aphid), 1445 nucleotides long. RefSeq lists it as uncharacterized. NCBI's taxonomy places the organism in Eukaryota, Metazoa, Arthropoda, Insecta, Hemiptera, Aphididae. The record is from RefSeq and is a predicted model, not a curated record. The transcript is spliced from 3 exons.